Oreochromis aureus is the source of this 1067-nucleotide long non-coding RNA. The record is from Ensembl. Lineage: Eukaryota; Metazoa; Chordata; Actinopteri; Cichliformes; Cichlidae.
GAAGAGCAGAGUCAGGGAGAAUAACUCUGGUGGACUCUGGGGAUGGAUCCUUCACUGUGACCUUCAGUCAUCUCCAGCUGUCAGACUCAAAGAAAUACUGGUGUGGAGUAGAAAGGCCUUUUUUUGACACAUAUACCAAGGUACAGCUUACAGUAAAGAAAGUUGUUGAAACUGAGACAGCUGUCAUACUCAACGUUUUUUCUACAUGGACAUAUCAAAAUAUCCACACAACACACUUAGUGAUUGAAGGAGGAACCCUGAAGCCCACACACCUUUCAAAAGGCACCAUCAUCUAUGCUACUGUUGGGGGUGCUAGUCUAAUCGCUGUCUUGCUGCUGGCAGUAUGGUUUGGGAAGUCCAAACAAACCUCAAAAGAAGAACUACAAGUUUACUGCAACAUUUCACACCUUAGAAAAGACAAAAAAAGAGAGGUCAGCUGUGGCUUCAAUGAUGCUGAUAAGAAGACAAAGUGUAGUAAGAAGAGCUCUUGUGUCUUUACUCUCCAAAAAAGACCGGAGCCACCAACAUCCGAACCCACAACAAACAAAUGUAGCGUAACCAUUGAUACUGACGAUAACAUAUAUUUCACCAAACUUCCUGCACAUUCAGAAAAUUCACCCACAGAGGACCAAAAUGACUAUGCUAAUAACUCUGCCAUUUACAUUAUUCCUUUGCCAGAUAUUAUGUAUGACGCAACAGAUGAUGGCACUUGUAGAGAACACAUGCCUAAUCCUUAAACAUGCAAAAAUACAGAUCGCUGUGCAAACAGUGCAUCACCUUGUGUCUCCCGUGCCCCCUGUGAAUCCAGCGAAGACAAGCCCGGAUCACGUUGGUUUGGUUUAAACUUAUCAGGAACAAAUCCGAGUUCAUCUCAAAGAGUAAUGAAAAGAAAUGUCUUCAUCUUAUUAAGCAUGUACAUGAAAUUGCACUCUCAUUGUUUCAACCACUGUUUCAGCUUCAUGUCUAUGGCUACCUGUAUUUGCAUAAAUUAACAUUCUGGUGCAAAAACCUUGUUCUUACAACGUUAACCAGAUCUGAAAUACCACUUCAUUAACACUAACACUGGU